UUGAUCAUUUUGAGUAUCCGUAGUCUUGUGUUUACAUGUGUAGUGAGUUAUGUUAGCUAGGAGUAAGCACACAUUUUGCUGCAGAAAGUACCAUUUAACUUUAUGCUGAAAACAAAUGCUGGACAUUUUGUUUUUAAUUGUCUACCAAGCUAGCCUUUCAGUUUGCUAGCGACGUUACUAGCUAACUUGAAUUAGACGUGUUUUAACAGAUGACAGGAGCUAGUUAGCUAAAGGUAGCUAGCUAGCUGGUAAUAAGACUGAAUGCUAUGGCCGGGUCACUCGUGAGUUAACUAUCCUUACUCCAAAUGCUAUGUAGCUAGCUAACGUUAGCUGGUGAGUCUCAUUUAGGUUGUCCUGCUCAGACCUCACUUCUUAAAUCUAUUAGAGGGAUUUGCCUGCUUCACAGAAAGCUUGCAGUCCGAGAACAUCAAUAUGCAAACUGCACGAAGCCCCACGCUAAAUUUGACAAAUGAAGCUUAUCAAAACGGUUUCUACUUUUCUGUAUCUACCUCAAGGUCAGGUAACUUAUUUGGAAUUGCAGUCGGUCACUGGGACUGAUUAUGCUCGAGACGAGUAGCAAGGAACAUGACAACGACCUCUUGCUGUCACCUGCACAUGAUCCAUCGACUGAUAUAGUUGCUGCUGAGGAAAGUCAAUUGCAUUGCAAUGUGAAGGAGCUCAUCGCCCCUGGUAAGACAUAUAUAUAACCUAUUAUCAUCACAGAAAUGCGCUAAAUGAGUGGAACCUGGCUUCUUUGAUUCCAAAGUUUGAGGGUGGGGCGUGACAGCUUUUCAUUGACUGUGUAAAACAGCACCUUCGUCUUCCACAUUGUAAUUUGGAACAGCGAUUGAGGAAGUCAACAAAACCAUUCCAUUGUUUCUGCAACUACAUCCCCCUAACAAGCAAUGUUUACAAUGUCUUCUACCCUCUUGUGGCUUUGAGACUCUAUUGACUCUUGUCAAGGAGGGAAAUUUAAGUAGUCCAACCUCAAUUGAAAUAAUUAACUUCACUAGCUACUUGCUGUUUAUUAUCUAUGCAUAGUCACUUUACCCCUACCUAAUGUACAAAUUGCCUCGACUUAACCUGCACCCUGCGUAUUGAUUCGGUACUGGUACCCCCUUUAUAGAGCCUCAUUAUUGUUACUUUUUUGUUGUAAAUAUUUUCUUAACUGCGUUGUUGGUUAAGGGCUUGUAAGUAAGCAUUUCAUGGUAAGGUGAAACACCUGUUGUAUUCGGCCCAUGUGACAAAUUUAAAAUGAGAUUUGAAAAAGAUAACUAUUAUUAGAGAAUUGUGAGAACAUUCUCUUCUCACUGUAACAUCAAAGGUUAAGUGCAUUCCAUAGUCAUUGGAUGACAUGCUGCACAAACAGAUAGAGCCCCCUUAUUUUUUUAUAUAUAUAUUUUUUAAUCGAAGUACAUUAUAUUGUUAUGUACUGUCUUGAUGGUGGCCAGUUCCAUGGCUUAAUAUCAGAAGUUCUAGGAUCAUCGCUCUCACACUGCAUCACAAGAAACUGUUUGCAUUCUUGUUGUUGUCAAAGCACCACAAUGGAUGGGGUGGAGUCACCACAGCAGGUUGGUGGCACCUUAAUUGGGAAGAAUGGGCUUGUGUUAAUGACUGGAGUGGAAUGGUAUCAAACACAUGGUUUCCAGAUGUUUGAAUCCAUUUACUCCGUACUGGACAUUAUUAUGAGCCGUUCUCCCCUCCGCAUCCUCCUGUGAGUCACACAGACCAUACAUUUUACUAUGAGCAGUUUUUUUGUUGUUGCUCAACUACUUUCAAGGAAUAGCUUGUGUUCACUAGCUUCAAAUAUUCAUUACAUUCACCCAGAGUCUUGACGCACUUUUGUUGGAAAUUAUGUCUGCGAUAUUAGGAGGAUCCAUCUUAGCCAUUUGCAUGCUGUCAUCAUCUCCCCCUUGUUCCUCAGAAAAUGAAAUAGUGAAGAGGAUCAAGAAGAGACCCCAAAAGCCACGUGGAAGGAAACAAAGUCCAAGUCAUCCGAAUGCUCUGACAAUCUCAUGUCCGAACUUCCAUUCGCAGCUACAGCAAUAUGGAACAACCUUGGCUGUAAACAGUUUAUGCCAUUUUAUUUAUGCAUUUAUAUCUAGGUUAACUUAAAUUAACAUCUCAAGACUAAUAUAACAUGGUUGUAACAUACCUUUUUAUAGAGAGGAUGAGUUCAGUAGUGACCAUGACAGGGCUCUAUGCUGGUGGCACCAACUCUGUAAGUCUAUAAUGACUGGUUAUUUGUAGCAUUUGCCAAUUGAUGCAAGGACCUUCCUUGUACCGCAGCUGCCCUUGAAUUCAAAUUUCCUCCAGCAGCCUAGUGGCGAUAAAUAAUGCAUUGUUGACUUGGCUGGCGGUUGAUUUUACAGGAGGGCAGUCAAAUCCAACUACAGAAUAGCAGAAUCACACAUUUGUCUCCUGUAAAACACUAAUUGUGCUACAUUUCCCCUAGUUACCAAGCCAGAGGCCAAUUUGAAGAAGAAGUGAAAGAGAGAUCAGUGCAGGCCCUGGUGAUGCAGAGGGACUCCAGACUCACUCGGGCUCUGGUGCCUGUAGCCAGUCUCCACAUCACGCUGCUGGUGACCCACUUGGCCAGUCAAGAGGAAGUAAACUUGGCAGUGUGUGCAGUGGCCCAGAUGAAGGCAUCACUGCAGGACCUGCUGUGGGGGCGAGAGCUCAUCCUGCCCUUCCACAGCAUCGGACACUUCAGGAAGGUGGUGUUUUGUAGAGUUGGCCCAGGGAGAGAACCUUGUCAAACUGGUCCAGAUCGCAGAAUGGACCAUUAUCAUGCACCUGUAUCAAAACCGGGGUAGCGAGAAAAGGUAAGUGUCACCUAUGCAUUUAAAUAGCGAAUGGAGGAAGCUUUCCUGUGGUUAAUUUGUGCCAGCCAGGUAGGCUAUACUCCUGUUGUAAAGAAAAGCAGUGUGCUUAAUAUUAGGGAAGUUGAGAUAUAGAAAGCUGAUGGGAUACUUUAUUUUUUAUAGAAGCCAUCACGUAAUUGCAUAGCCUAUAGAUAUGUUGCGCAACAGGAGCUCAUGGGCUCUCAUGAAAUUUUUGAUUACAUUUGCAUUGAUGUCACAGUGAUUAGAGGGCUGCGUACCAGGCAGUUAGCACGUUUGGUUGGCUGCUCAUGACCAUCAGAGCUUGGAGAAGCCUACUUACCGUGACUUAACUGGCGGUCACUUGUCUUCACUUACCUUCGUGACUGGGAGUAAUACGGUCACCACAACAGCCCUAGUCAUAGAUCAGUUAUUGUCAUUGAAAGCAAGUCUAAGAAGCGGUAGAUCUGUUCAAUGGGCACUUUUUCUGCUUCUAUGUUUUAGUUGUUGCAUCUUUCAGUUUUGUGCACCGGCUGAAAAUACAAUUAUUUGUAGUUAUGGAAAAUAUAUUUCACACAAUGUUUGUCUACACUAUACUUGUUUGUUUUGUCACAAACUGAAAUUCGGCAUACUUCCAAUUUUAGCAACCACAAAAUGGUGGAGCUAUUUCUGCAUUAGAGUGCAUCUUAAAUGUUUUGCUUUUUUUCUCUCGCAUAAUCAAAAUCUGAUAUCUUUAUUAUUUUGUACUUUUUAGAUAUUACAAUCUUUUUUCAAUGAGGCUGUGCUUUUUUAGAUGUAGAAAGCUUCCCUUAAAUAGAGACACUAACAGAUUAUCAGCUGCUGUCUUUUACUGCCCAUUUGUGUUCUUCCACUAACCCCUAUACCCCCCACCCUCUCCUCCUAUUGAUUAUCUCCUUGUCUUACACCACUCUGACUUAAAGUUGCUCUCUCCCUCGUGGUCCUGAACUACAAAUAGAUCUGCUGUUGUUUUUCCCAUCACCCUCGCUCUGUCUCUGGUCAUUUGCGCCAGGUCUUGUGAGGAAAACGUUUGAGGAGAAAUGCAUCUCGUCUAGUGACCGCAAAGCCUUCAAGCCUCACCUUACCUUCAUGAAGCUGUCCAAAACUCCUCCUCUACACAGUCAGGGUUUAAAGAAGCUGUACUCUGACUACGCUCGUCACCACUUUGGAAACGAGAGGGUGUUCAGACUGGCCCUCUGCUCAAUGGUGAAGAAAAAGACCCCAGAUGGAUUCUACCACCGAGGUCAGUUUCGGUGUCAAGAGGGGUCCGGAGCCUGACGAUGAAGAGCUUUUGAGCCUGAGUAAGAGGCUGGUGGAAGACGCCGUGCUGCUGGCCGUGCAGCAGUUCAUGGACGAGACUCAACACAACGGGGCCGCGUCAUCUGACCCGGCGCGGCCCUCAGACAACCUCAACACUAACGCUGUCAAAACAACCGACACCAGCGCCAGCAGCAAGUGACCACAGCCAAUUCCCCCAGGCAGCACUGGACACUAACCAGUCAGGCAGGCAGUCAGCCAGCCAGCCAACCGGCCCAGGAGCCAAUGGGCAGUACUGUUACUGGAUCAAGCCCAGUUGAGGUGUUUUACUAGAGAAGGAAGAAAGGUUUUGUGGCAAAACUCUGGAUUGAGUGUGGAAUCCAUAUGCAGUUUUUUGUGGACUUGAUUUUGUGUACCUGAUUGUCACCAAUGAUCAAGGCAGCCUCCCGCCACACAAUCCCUCCUGUCAUGUCUGUCAGUUCAUCUGUCUAGUGUGGACCUUUGUUCAUUCUUGAUUUAUCUGUGCCCUGGGAGAAAGAGUUGGCCUUCUGAAGGAAAUUUCUGUUCUGAUUAAUAUGCUACGUGAGGUGUGGGUCGUUCCAAUGCUCAGAGUGGAGCUGACAUGUCACGACACACACUACAGACUGAUCUUGGUUAGGUUAGGCUGUACCUCGGCCCUCCAUGGUGCAGUCAGUACAAAGACAUUCACUGUCUUUCUACUAAGCUAAAACAAAACGGCACUACAAAAGGAACUGCAACUCAAAAACCUGAGAAAAGGGAAAAUGAGCUCAUCUAUGCAGCUGGACAAUAUGCUGUGAACUAUGUUUACAUGAUUCCUGUCUCAUCUGUGCUGUAUGUGGCUAAAACUUGAAAAGGUAAAUGAAGAGUGGGUCCCAUGUGCUACCUGUGGUAAAAUAUGCAUGUUAAAAUAUGACAAAUAGGUUGACCUACCAGCAAUGAGGAUCAUGUUAGGUUCGUGUUUGUUUGUCACCUGUAGGAGGGACUGGUCAUGCAGCAGGCCUGGUUAGGAAGGCCCGGUGCACACACAAUCAUUCUCUGUCUCAGAACCUACAGGACAUAAAGGAGCAUCUAUCCCAGCCGGCUGUCCAAGCUAGCAUCCGCCAGGAGAUCUCUGGCACCUGACUGACUGAACACUCCCAGCUCCCACCAGCAGUGCGGAGACCGCACCAAGUAACUACAGAUACUGUAGUAGGCUAGUGUACUACACACAGUAGAUAGAUACAGUGCAUUCGGAAAGUAUUCAGACCCAUUGACUUUUUCCCAUAUUUUGUUACGUUACAGCCUUAUUCUAAAAUGGAUUGAAUGUUUUUUUCCCUUCAUCAAUCUACACACAUGGGGUAUUGUGACAAAGCAAAAACUGGUUUUAAAAACUUUUUGCAAUUUUAUAAAGAAUUAUAUUAAAUAAAAUAUCAUAUUUUCAUUAGUAUUCAGACCCUUUACUCAGUACUUUGUUGAAGCACCUUUGGCAGUGAUAACAGCAUCGAGUCUUCUUGGAUAUGACACUACAAGCUUGGCAUGCCUGUAUUUAGGGAGUUUCUCCCCUUCUCUGCAUAUCCUCUCAAGCGCUGUCAGUUUGGAUGGGGAGUGUCGCUGCACAGCUAUUUUCAGGUCUCUCCAGAGAUGUUAGCUCGGGUUCAAGUCCGGGCUCUGGCUGGGCCACUCAAGGACAUUCAGAGACUUAUCCCUAAGCCACUCCUGCAUUGUCUUGGCUGUGUGCUUAGGGUCGUUGUCCUGUUGGAAAUAGAACCUUUGCCCCAGUCUGAGGUCCUGAGCGCUCUGGAGCAGGUUUUCAUCAAGGUUUUCAUCAACUUUACUCCGUUCAUCUUUCCCUUGAUCCUGACUAGUCUACCAGUCCCUGCCACUGAAAAACAUCCCCACAGCAUGAUGCUGCCGCAACCACGCUUCGCCGUAGGGAUGGUGCCAUGCUUCCUCCAGACGUGACGCUUGGUAUUCAGGUCAGAGUUCAAUCUCGGUUUCAGCAGACCAGAGAAUGUUAUUUCUCAUGGUCUGAGAGUCCUGCAAACUCCAAGCGGGCUGUUGUGCCUUUUACUGAGUGACUUCCGUCUGGCGACUAUUAGAAAUACCUGAUUGGUGGAGUGCUACAGAGAUGGUUGUCCUCCUGGAAGGACCAUCCCAUCUCCACAAAGGAACACUGGAGCUCUGUCAGAGAAACCAUCGGGUUCUUGGUCACCUCUCUGACCAAGUCCCUUCUCCCUUGAUUGCUCAGUUUGGUCGGGCGGCUAGCUCUAGGAAGAGUUUUGGUGGUUCCAAACCUCUUCCAUUUAAGAAUGGUCCAUCAUUCUGUGAUGACCACUGUGUUCUGUGAUCGGCCACUGUGUUCUUAGGGACCUUCAAUGCUGCAGAAAUGUUCUGGUACUCUUCCCCAGAUCAAUGCCUCGACACAAUCCUGUCUCGGAGCUCUACGGACAAUUCCUUUGACAGGGCUUGGUUUUUGCUCUGACAUGCACUGUCAACUGUGGGACCUUAUAUAGACAGUUGUGUACCUUUCCAAAUCAUGUCCAAUCAAUUUCAUUUUAAUUUAGUUUGGUGAUAAAAAUAAAAAAAAUGUUUUAUUGAACUGCAUUGUUGGUUAAGGGCUUGUAAGUAAGCAUGUGACAAAUAAGAUUUGAUUUUGGAUCAAGUUGUACAAACAUCUCAAGGAGGAUCAAUGGAAACAGGAUGCACCUGAGCUCAAUUUUGAGUUUCAUACUGUAAAUAAAGUAUUUGUUUUAUAUUUAAUAAAUUUGCAGAAUUUCUAAACUUGUUUUCGCUUUGUCAUUAUGGGGUAUUCUGUGUAGAUUGAGAAAAUAUUAGAUUCAAUUAUUUUAGAAUAAGGCUGUAACAAAAUGCGGGAAAAGGGAAGGGGUCUGAAUACUUUUCUAAUGCACUGUACCACAGAACGAACACAACAGGAAGUACACACUUUUCCAUGAUUCAUUUAUAUAUAUUUUGAAAGAAUGUUUAAUUUUGAAAUGAGUAGAAAGAAACUAGUUGGGGGGGGGGGAAAGCACAUUGUGAAUUUCAGUUUUUUUUGUACUUGCUUUUAGCACUAUGCUUUAAAUACCACUUCCAAGUGGCUUUAAUAAAGACAGAGGCUAUUCACUGAGGCUUUCGUUUGAUGUUUUUGUUGAUCUUUUGCAUAAUUUCACUAGAACCUUAAUAUAUGCUUUGUCACAGAUGUGUCAUGGGAUGCUACAACAUUGUCUGCUUCCUUGCUCAUGGUCUCAACAGUCGAGAUGUUGUUCUGUAUACCAGGUGUGCUGGAUGUCAACUGUUUGUGUAUCAUGUCUAGCCACAAUGAACAAUACAAAAAUCAUGAUAUGAAGAUUGAUUUAACAGAGUUAGUUUCCCAUGUGGUUCAGUGAAUCUGAAGCCACGGGGAUGUGGGUUUUAGAUUAUUUGUUUUUAUUUAACCAGGACAAGACCCUUGAGGUUAGAAACCACUUUCUCAAGGAGGACCUGGGAACUAUGGUGUCUAUCUUGGGCGAUGGGAAGGUUAAAGGCAAAAUGCUCUCACUCUUAGGUGCUGUGAUGGCGAGCCUUGUGUAAUGCACACUGCACCCUUAUAUUGGGAUUUCCUCGCAACAGAUGGGUCAGUGACUUCUUCUUGUAUUUUUAAAGCAUCUGCCUCAAGCUGUUUUUCAUUUUUUUACUCAUAUGCUUCUAUUUUUGGUCUUCGCCCUCAAAGCUCCCGUUCGCCUCAGCUCUGGAUCCAUCUGCCAAAGCAGGAGAAAAAGACAAAGGAGUGCACAGCGUGAGCGGAUAAGGAUUGGCAGGCUGUGGGCUGAAACUAUACUUAUAAUUUUUUGAAUCUCUGGUUUUGACCUGCUCCGAUCGAUACACACUCCCUGCCAGAGCCACUACACGCUUAAAUAAAAAAAGGGGGUAGCUAGUACCUAAAUGGGUUAUUCGGCUGUACCCAUAGGGUUUUACCUGGAACCAAAAAAGCUUCUACUUGGAACCAAAAACCGUUAUCCUAUGGGGACAGCCGAAGAACCCUUUUUUUAAGAGUGCAGCCUUCUCUUUAGACCAGUCUUUAUCAUCAUAAACUCCCCUCUACUCAAUAGCUCUCAGUAUGAUAUGACCACUGCAUUGAAGCCAUUGGGUUGUUCUUGAAUUGUGGAGGUAUUUUCAUUCCUUGGCUUUGUAAUCAUAAAAAUGUAAAGACAAUUACACAUCAUACAUGUUUUUGUUUAUAUUUUACGCUGUUUAUAACAUAAGUCCUUUAUACUGCAAAACUAUGUUAAUUCAAAGUGUCUUGUGUAGAGUUGUUGUGAAAUGUUUUGGGGAUUUAGAGACAUCUAUUAUUUAUAAUUCUAGAAAGUGAACGAAAGUAUUUCAUAUAUUGUAUAGAUCAAUAAAAACAAAAGGCUAUUAAAAUA
Molecule: RNA transcript, 8500 nt
Organism: Oncorhynchus kisutch (coho salmon)
Lineage: Eukaryota; Metazoa; Chordata; Actinopteri; Salmoniformes; Salmonidae
Gene name: A-kinase anchor protein 7
Exons: 6
Source: RefSeq, a predicted model, not a curated record